CCGAAAUUUCGGCAGCACCUCCCUUAAAAAUGGGACUAUCAACCUGUUUAAAUAUCCCAACAACACUAAGUAUCAUUCAAUCGAUACACACAGCCCAUCCAUCGGGCAAUUAAACAAAUCUAUUUCCCUUCCUCCAUCCAACACAUUCACAUCAAUAUUUAAUUGUUAAUAUCAAACUUUAACUUACUAUAUAACAUUAAGUAAAUGAAUAAAUAAGCAACUAAAUGAAAAAUAGCUAUUUGCUUAACCUCCAGAAGUUACUAGUUAAACUAUCUAAUAUAGACCCUUAACAAUCAUAUAAAACUAUAGCUUAUGUAUUCAAUAAUCAUUAACUAAAUUCGGAGUUUUUCGAUACCAAAAUUAUAUAUUACACAUUAACUAAUCAAUGUCAUAAAUCAUCUAUAAUCUAUACAUGUCUUUCUUUCUCCAUACCAUACUAGAACCGAAUUUCUAAUCAAACUCAUAUAUGUAUACACUUAAUAGUUCCAAUCUAAAACCAUCCAUUGUCUAAGUCUUAAUUUAUAACUUUUCCUAACAAUAUUUAUCCAAAUUCCUAACUUAGCUUACAUCGAUGUUAUACCAAUUGCUUCUUAACAAAAUUAUAUUUGUUUGAUUAUUUACCCAAAUUCAAUUUAACUAACUAAUAUUUAUUAAGUUUAUAAUUUAUACCGAAGAUAAAGAAACUGAUCUUAGAACGUACCAAUUGAGAAUCGGGCGACGAUUCCACGAUCAGCGCGAAGAGAAGAGGAUUCUGUCUCUCGGGACCUCGCCGGAGUGCCGCCGGCCGGUCACCGGACCGCCGCCGCCGACCGCCGUGCACGGUGGCCGGAAAUUCAAAUCAUCACCAAAAUUAACAAACAAUAUAUCAUUUUAUUCGUUUCGAUGAGAGGAUCAUUAAUAUGUAUUCAAAUCAAGGUGGGUACGAACUAUUUGGCCGGAAAUUGAUCGGAAAGGUUUGGUGAUACCCAUUUUGGGUUUUCCGAUUCCGGCCAUUACAGUCGACGAGGAGGCCAUCAAAUGAAAGAGGAAGAAGAGAGGAGUCAUUUGGUACUCACCUUGAGCCCUAGGCUUGCCUGAAACGGCGUGAAUCGCCGGAAAAAGGGUCUCCAAAACUUCAAGCUCUUCCCCUUCAAAAUAGACACAAUUUCAAUUCAAAUCUACGCUAUAAUCUUCUUCCUCGCGUUGAGUAGAUGUUUUUAGAGUAUUCAUUUGCCGAAUUUGGUGGCCGGAGGAAGGAGAUCGAAGAAGAGGGAGGAGGAGGAGGAGGUGGUCACGCUACCGAAGAAGGAGAAGGA
Molecule: long non-coding RNA, 1295 nt
Filed under: Jatropha curcas
Lineage: Eukaryota; Viridiplantae; Streptophyta; Magnoliopsida; Malpighiales; Euphorbiaceae
Description: long non-coding RNA (JCUR_LNC003612)
Source: RNAcentral